RNAcentral lists this ribosomal RNA (293 nucleotides) under Goniomonas pacifica. RNAcentral's name for it is "partial Bacterial large subunit ribosomal RNA". It matches the Rfam family "Bacterial large subunit ribosomal RNA", at positions 2422 to 2714 of the family's 2925-position model. Lineage: Eukaryota; Cryptophyceae; Goniomonadida; Goniomonadaceae. The record is from RNAcentral.
GGUGUUUCUGUAUGGAAAGGACAUCGCUCAAAGGAUAAAAGGUACUCCGGGGAUAACAGGCUGAUACCCCCCAAGAGUCCACAUCGACGGGGGUGUUUGGCACCUCGAUGUCGGCUCAUCGCAACCUGGGGCUGAAGUCGGUCCCAAGGGUUGGGCUGUUCGCCCAUUAAAGCGGUACGCGAGCUGGGUUCAGAACGUCGUGAGACAGUUCGGUCCCUAUCUGCCGUGGGUGUACGAGACUUGAGAGGAUCUGUCCCUAGUACGAGAGGACCGGGAUGGACGAACCUCUGGUG